Poecilia reticulata (guppy) is the source of this 228-nucleotide non-coding RNA. NCBI's taxonomy places the organism in Eukaryota, Metazoa, Chordata, Actinopteri, Cyprinodontiformes, Poeciliidae. The record is from RefSeq and is a predicted model, not a curated record.
CGGCACAGGAUCCGUUAGAGCCGCUAAGUGAGGAGCUAGCUGUUAGCUGUGGUUCUGCAGCACUAGUAAAACAUCCUCCACUGAUUGGACUUUUCACAAAGAAGAAAACUGGAGGAGUUGGUGAAAUGAUGGACCAGCUUUAUGAGAAACAGUUGCAGCUUCCUGAAUCUGCUGGAGCCCAGCGUCGUGGUGCAGGAGGCUCCACUCCCUCUGCUUCUGGGUCUGACU